Molecule: ribosomal RNA, 256 nt
Filed under: uncultured bacterium
Lineage: Bacteria
Description: partial 16S ribosomal RNA
Rfam family: Bacterial small subunit ribosomal RNA
Source: RNAcentral
GACGAAGGGGGGCUAGCGUUGUUCGGAAUUACUGGGCGUAAGGGCGCGUGUAGGCGGUUGUUUCAAGUCAGGUGUGAAAGCCUUGAGCUCAACUCAAGAAAUGCACUUGAUACUGGAUGACUAGAGGACCGGAGAGGAUAGUGGAAUUCCCAGUGUAGUGGUGAAAUACGUAGAGAUUGGGAAGAACACCAGUGGCGAAGGCGGCUAUCUGGACGGUUUCUGACGCUAAGACGCGAAAGCGUGGGGAGCAAACAGG